CAGCAGCCGCCACGGUAAUACAGAGGGUGCGAGCGUUAAUCGGAUUUACUGGGCGUAAAGCGUGCGUAGGCGGCUAAUUGAGUCGGAUGUGAAAUCCCCGAGCUUAACUUGGGAAUUGCAUUCGAUACUGGUUAGCUAGAGUGUGGGAGAGGAUGGUAGAAUUCCAGGUGUAGCGGUGAAAUGCGUAGAGAUCUGGAGGAAUACCGAUGGCGAAGGCAGCCAUCUGGCCUAACACUGACGCUGAGGUACGAAAGCAUGGGGAGCAAACAGGAUUAGAUACCCGAGUAGUCCCUGUCUCUUAUAC
RNAcentral lists this ribosomal RNA (304 nucleotides) under uncultured bacterium. RNAcentral's name for it is "partial 16S ribosomal RNA". It matches the Rfam family "Bacterial small subunit ribosomal RNA", at positions 509 to 807 of the family's 1533-position model. The record is from RNAcentral.